GACGAACGCUGGCGGCGUGCUUAACACAUGCAAGUCGAACGGUAAGGCCUGGCUCUUGUGCGGGGCUCGAGUGGCGAACACGGGUGUGUCACGCGUGUAACACGUGCUCUUCUUUCGGGUAUCUUCAGGAGACUCGGGGUCUUAUACUGUAUACGCUAUGGCUCCGUGUUGGGGUUUGGAAAGAUUCGGCGGUUGGGGAUGGACUCGCGGCUUAUCAGCUUGUUGGUGGGGUAGUGGCUUACCAAGGCUUUGACGGGUAGCCGGCCUGAGAGGGUGACCGGCCACACUGGGACUGAGAUACGGCCCAGACUCCUACGGGAGGCAGCAGUGGGGAAUAUUGCACAAUGGGCGGAAGCCUGAUGCAGCAACGCCGCGUGCGGGAUGACGGCCUUCGGGUUGUAAACCGCUUUCGCCUGGGAAGAAGCGAGAGUGACGGUAAGGGGAGAAGAAGCACCGGCUAACUACGUG
Molecule: ribosomal RNA, 468 nt
Filed under: uncultured bacterium
Lineage: Bacteria
Description: partial 16S ribosomal RNA
Rfam family: Bacterial small subunit ribosomal RNA
Source: RNAcentral